Molecule: transfer RNA, 72 nt
Filed under: Neurospora pannonica FGSC 7221
Lineage: Eukaryota; Fungi; Ascomycota; Sordariomycetes; Sordariales; Sordariaceae
Description: tRNA-Und (CTN) (tRNA-Und-CTN-1-1)
Rfam family: tRNA
About the family: Transfer RNA (tRNA) molecules are approximately 80 nucleotides in length.
Source: RNAcentral
GGUUCUAUAGUGUAGCGGUUAUCACUCCGGAUUCUNNUUCCGGCAACCCCGGUUCGAUUCCGGGUAGGACCU